UACGAAGGUGGCAAGCGUUGUUCGGAUUUACUGGGCGUACAGGGAGCGUAGGCGGUUGGAUAAGCCCUCCGUGAGAUCUCCAGGCUUAACCUGGAAAGUGCAGAGGGGACUGUUCAGCUAGAGGAUGGGAGAGGAGCGCGGAAUUCCCGGUGUAGCGGUGAAAUGCGUAGAGAUCGGGAGGAACACCUGUGGCGAAAGCGGCUCACUGGACCACAACUGACGCUGAGGCGCGAAAGCUAGGGGAGCAAACAGGAUUAGAAACCCGAUAGUACGUUC
Molecule: ribosomal RNA, 276 nt
Filed under: uncultured bacterium
Lineage: Bacteria
Description: partial 16S ribosomal RNA
Rfam family: Bacterial small subunit ribosomal RNA
Source: RNAcentral